GACUUCGUCUCGGGGGCGUCGGCCGCCUCCAGCCACAUGAUCCACGGCGGUAUCCGUUAUCUGGAGAACGGCGAGUUCCGCCUCGUGCACGAAGCCG
Molecule: transfer RNA, 97 nt
Filed under: Microbacterium sp. TNHR37B
Lineage: Bacteria; Bacillati; Actinomycetota; Actinomycetes; Micrococcales; Microbacteriaceae
Description: tRNA-Ile
Source: RNAcentral